This 72-nucleotide transfer RNA is filed under the name Muntiacus reevesi (Reeves' muntjac). It matches the Rfam family "tRNA". Rfam says of the family: Transfer RNA (tRNA) molecules are approximately 80 nucleotides in length. Their secondary structure includes four short double-helical elements and three loops (D, anti-codon, and T loops). RNAcentral also lists the same sequence under 8 other names. Lineage: Eukaryota; Metazoa; Chordata; Mammalia; Artiodactyla; Cervidae. The record is from Rfam by way of RNAcentral.
UCCCUGGUGGCUCAGAUGGUAAAGAAUCUGCCUGCAAUGCAGGAGACCUAGGUUUGAUCCCUGGGUUGGGAA